This is a long non-coding RNA of Fukomys damarensis (Damara mole-rat), 1971 nucleotides long. Lineage: Eukaryota; Metazoa; Chordata; Mammalia; Rodentia; Bathyergidae. The record is from Ensembl.
CCAAUCCACCCUAUUAACACAGGCCCCGUGAGGGGGAGAAAACUGCAGCCACAGACCCAGCCCCGGGCUGCGAUCAUCGAUGGGACUGAAAAGCCUGCACAGGAUUGAGCCCAAGGAGUAGCUUUCCCAUUUGAGGUUUUAGCUUGAGAUUCCCGAAGAACCCAAACCAGCCUUCCUUCCCUGGCUGACCCUGCUGAAUAAACUAGAAGCCACUUUCCAUUCAUCCAUUUGAGGCUAUGGAAAAAUUAUCCUCAUCUGGCUCUUCAUUGCAUAUGCUCAGCUACACCGUGUGUAGAUUAAGAGGCAGCCCGGUCCCAGCGAUCCUGGUGAGUAGCUGGAGAUCUGCUCUUCCUUUCUACAGAGGAGUUCUCCAGUCCACCCACUGGAAGUGAACUCCCGUAUCAAGACGGUGCCAGGGCUGGGACCUGAGCCUGGGCCCUGGACUCCUUCUCCUGUGCAUUUGCUGUCUUUAAACACACGGAUACUGAGGGGCUUCGGAUCAGUCCCAUCUGUACAAGCUGCUCGGGGGAGCAGGAGGCGGUGUUAUCUGUCCCGGCCUGUUCCAUUCGGCUGAGCAGAUUACUAUCUGACUCCAGAGCUGCCUGCACUGCACCGCCCUGCUGGAAAUGAUGAAACCUCAGUGACUUCAGCAGCAGAGGGGGUUCCCGCUGGGGCUGCGGGGUGAUGCUUCCCUCAGGACCUCGCUGAAACACAGGCUGGACUCAGACCUUGCCCAUGGCCCACAAGGUGCCCGAGAGGACCCCACUGGCAGCCCUCUCUCUGGUUCCUCACAGACCUCUGCCUGCUGCUCCUGAAAGAGGCUGAACCCCGCUUCCACCGGCAGCUGCGCAGUCAGAGGCUCAGCAUGUUGGCAAGAGCAAUGGAGCUCUGGCACGGCCUAGCCAUCGCAGCAGUGUCCCUCCUCCUCCAGGCCUGCCUCCUCGCUGUGACUGGUUACCUGCUCAGCCGGCACAUAGCCAGGCAGAGUGAACAGAUGCUCAAAGACGUCAGGCUGCAGGCCCAGGGCUCUCGCCCUGCCCACCAGCCCCUGCCAGCUGCCAAGGAGACCACGGAGACCUGGACGGAGAGAAGCACCCCGGCAUCCGUACCCCGAUACAAGGGUGAGAGUGACACAUCCUCGGACAGCUCGGACAGCUCGGAUGGCAGGGACAGCUCACCUCCCACCUGCCAGGUCAGCAAGGGUGUGAAUUACACGCAAGUGGUCUUCUCGACCCCUGGAGGUCUAAGCAGGGGAUCUGCCCUGGACUAUGAGAACAUGAAGGACACCACAGACUAUGUCAAUGUCAACCCAAAAAGCCCCAAGCCUAAUUCCUGGACUUUUUCAAACCCUGCCGUCUCUGAGCCGGUGGAGUACACUCAAGUGGUUAUAUGAAUUCUAGGUUUUUUUUUUAAAAAAAAUAAGGUACAAUUCUCUAUUGAUUCUUGCAUAAUAAUUCCUUUAAACUAAAAAAAAUAUGUAUAGGGGAAAAAAAGGUCUGGGCCCCAACAAGAAGGCUCCAGACCAGAUGUUAGGAAGAACUCGCAAGCAAGGUUUGAAAACCUUGGCAACUACAGGAGAGAAAAGGGGGAGGUCUUUAUAAAAGUUUUAAUCAGCGCCAGUGAAGUUCCCUUUGGUGAUCUUAAGGUUAAAUGACUUCUUUUUGAGUUCUUUAAUUAUUUGCAAUAAAUACUUUUCUUAACGUUUUUAAGUAGAGUUGCAGUACUGGUUCCUCUUCUCCUCUUGCCUAAUCCUGCAUGUUGGCCCUUUUAUCAGUGAUGAAUUUUUGCUGAAUAAUCCUGCUUUGCCUUCAGAACUUCAGAUAACUCACUUACAAAGCCUAUCACCAAUCUGUCUUUGAGGUGGUGAUUUUUUUUUUUUUAUAAACAAAAAUGACAAAGAGAAUCCUAGUCAGUAUCAGCUGGCAUCACAAUCGGUUAUUCCAAGGAAAAUAUUUCAAAUUUUAAUACAAC